UGAAAGCGUUUCACAGGGAUGCUGGUCCAUGUUGACUCUACAAGGUGUUGAAAGCGUUCCACAGGGAUGCUGGCCCAUGUUGACUCUACAAGGUGUUGAAAGUGUUCCACAGGGAUGCUGGUCCAUGUUGACUCUACAAGGUGUUGAAAGCGUUCCACAGGGAUGCUGGCCCAUGUUGACUCUACAAGGUGUCUAAAGCCUUCCACAGGGAUGCUGGUCCAGUUGACUCUACAAGGUGUUGAAAGCGUUCCACAGGGAUGCUGGUCCAUUUGACUCUACAAGGUGUUGAAAGCGUUCCACAGGGAUGCUGGUCCAGUUGACUCUACAAGGUGUUGAAAGCGUUCCACAGGGAUGCUGGUCCAUGUCGACUCCAAUGCUUCCCACAGUUGUGUCCAGUUGGCUGGAUGUCCUUUGGGUGGUGGACCGUUCCUUAUACACAUGGGAAACUGUUGAGCGUGAAAAACCCAGCAGCGUUGGAGUUCUUGACACAAACUGGUCUACCUGGCACAUACUAUCAUACCCCGUUCAAAGACACUUAAAUAUUUUGUCUUGUCCAGUCACCCUCUGAAUGGCUCACAGACACAAUCCAUGUCUCAAUUGUCUCAAGGUUUAAAACUCCUUCCUUUAUCCCGUCUCCUCCCCUUCAUCUACACUGACUGAAGUAGAUUUAACCUGACUCCUCCCCUUCAUCUACACUGACUGAAGUGGAUUUAACCUGACUCCUCCCCCCUCAUCUACACUGACUGAAGUGGAUUUAACCUGACUCCUCCCC
Molecule: long non-coding RNA, 772 nt
Organism: Oncorhynchus keta (chum salmon)
Lineage: Eukaryota; Metazoa; Chordata; Actinopteri; Salmoniformes; Salmonidae
Exons: 4
Source: RefSeq, a predicted model, not a curated record